CAUGAGUUGGGGCUCAACAGGGUUCAGGGCUCACAUAUGACAUAAAAAGCACAUGACUAGUGUUUGCAUGCACAGAAAACCCAGACAAUCUACUACAUUUGUCAAAUGUGCAAAAUACAACCUGAGGACACUGUGUGAGUAUGCAAGGAUAAGCAUUUCCAGAACAGCACCGUGUGUUCAUCUGCAAACUUCACAUUUUGGCAGAAUCCAUACUAAAACCUCCAAGUGCUGACUUAAAAUAAAUUAAAUUACACUGAACCUCCCAGAGUCCACCUUGAAACAAAGUCAUGUUUACAAGCUUCUGGACGGAGGCAGCGAGUGGUGUUGAGGAUGAAUUUCACCAGAUCACGGUGCAGAUUGAAGUUACAUGUUCUGUCAUGGAGGAAAACCUUUCUAUGUCUGCCUGAGGCCACACAGAUCAGCCUGAGAUUCAUGUUGAAGUUUAAUUCAUGCUCUGAAUUGAUAAACGUCCUCUCCGCUGCACACAUCUGACAAAAGCCCAUUCCUUCAUGGCAUCAUCCAUCACGAAAUCACAGGGAUCAAUCAGCAGCUGUUUGGCCGGUGACAGAUAUAUUGGAGCGGCUUUGCUGUGUACAGAGAGUCUGUUGGAGAAGGGAUCUGUGCGGAAAGCUGUAUGUUCUCUGACUGGCUCAUGCAGGAUGUUCUGGGAAAGAGAUGGAUGGCAUUUAAAUCCACCUUUACUGGAAAACAGUCCAAGAUCUGCUUCCCAGAGUCUCCAGGAUGAAUGUUCCUCGAGUGUUUAACAGUGUUUCUCUCAUCUGUCUGCGAGCAGAUGUCCUGCUUCUAGAAUCUAAUGCACCAGUUUUGCCAGAGGUUAAAGAGGUCUGGUAAACGUGUUUCACAAAUGCAGUUCGUUGUUUUUAAUCAGUUAUGUAUGUUUUAUCACACAACUUCAGUAAAAAUCACAGAGCAAAUAACGUAAUCCUAUCUGGAUAAUCUAGUCUGUGAUUAUGUACUGUAAGUGUGUAUUUAUUUAAUCAUUUAUUUAUCUAUUUAUUUAUUUUAGUCAUUUAUUUAUUUAUUCACUUUAUUUUAGAUUAAAAUGCAGCUGUUUUUGAAAAGUAGAUUUUUGUAGAUUUUUCAGAUUCAUUUAUUUAAUCAGUUUAUUUUAGUUGUUUAUUUAAUUAGUAAGUCAAGUAUUUAUUAAUCUAAUUUAUUUAUUUAGUCAGGCAUUAAUUAAUUGAUUGAUUGAUUAAGUAAUUAAUAUAGUCACAUAUUUAUUUAGUUAGCCAUUUGUCUAUUAAUCUAUGCAUUGAGUAACUCGUUCAUUAAUUUAUUUAUUUAGUAAUGUAUUUAUCUAGUAAUUUAAUCAGUCAUUCAUUUUAUUUUUGUAUUUAGUCAUGUAUUUAUUCAGUCAUUUGUUAAUUAAUCUAUUUAUUCGCUUGUAAUUUGUAAUUUAAAUUCAUUCAUUCAUUCAUUCAUUUAUUCAGUUUGCUAGGUAAAAUAUGUAUUUCAGGUGCUGAAUAAAAUAAAAUGAAAUUAAAAUGAAGAUCAUAUGCUGCUGUUAGCCCUUCUGAUCAUCUAUAAAUACUCCAUAUUUAUUCCUUUCCUAAAAUAUUGUAAUUAUAUCAUCCACCUAAAGUGCAUUAAUAAUUAUAAAUCGAAGUUAUAAUUGUUUUUUUUUGUUAUUAUGUUUCUUUGGUGUUUUCUUCUGUUAGACAGACAUUUGCGUUCUCUCUCUGUCUCUUCUGUGAUCUGAUCUGAUGCUUCAAACCCACUAAUUGAGAACAUCAAGGAAGUAUCAUCUUUCAAGAACAAGACGAGCAUAAAAUAAAUCACAC
This is a long non-coding RNA of Cyprinus carpio carpio, 1802 nucleotides long. The record is from Ensembl. Lineage: Eukaryota; Metazoa; Chordata; Actinopteri; Cypriniformes; Cyprinidae.